GUUGUAUGGUUAAGUGACUUAGGCGUACAGGGCGGAUGCCUUGGCAAUCAGAGGCGAUGAAGGACGUGCUAAUCUGCGAAAAGCUUGGAUGAGUCGAUAAGAGGCGUUUAAUCCAAGAUAUCCGAAUGGGGAACCCAGUAGAUGAAGAAUCUACUAUCAAUAAAUGAAUACAUAGUUUAUUGAGGCGAACCGGGAGAACUGAAACAUCUAAGGUACCCCGAGGAAAAGGAAAUCAACCGAGAUUCUGUGAGUAGCGGCGAGCGAAAGCGGAAGAGCCAGUAAGGUUUUAGCUAGCAUAUUAGAGGAAUUGGCUGGGGAGGCCAAAUCAAAGAGGGUGGUAAUCCCGUACUCGAAAGUAUGUUAGUGGAACUAAGCUUACGAUAAGUAAGGGCGGGACACGAGAAAUCCUGUUUGAAGAUGGGGGGAGACCAAUCCUCCAAGGCUAAAUACUCCUGAUUGACCGAUAGUGAACCAGUACUGUGAAGGAAAGGCGAAAAGGAACCCCGGUGAGGGGAGUGAAAUAGAAACUUGAAACCCUGUACGUACAAGCAGUAGGAGCGAGGGCAACCUUGUGACUGCGCACCUUUUGUAUAAUGGGCAGCGACUUAUAUUUUGUAGCGAGGUUAACUGAAUAAGGGAGCCGAAGGGAAACCGAGUCUUAACUGGGCAUUGAGUUGCAAGGUAUAGACCCGAAACCCGAUGAUCUAGCCAUGGGCAGGUUGAAGGUUGGGUAACACUAACUGGAGGACCGAACCCGACUAAUGUUGAAAAAUUAGCGGAUGACUUGUGGCUGGGGGUGAAAGGCCAAUCAAACCGGGAGAUAGCUGGUUCUCCCCGAAAUCUAUUUAGGUAGAGCCUUGAGCGGACACCUUCGGGGGUAGAGCACUGUUUCGGCUAGGGGUCCAUCCCGGAUUACCAACCCGAUGCAAACUGCGAAUACCGAAGAGUGAUACUUAGGAGACACACGGCGGGUUGCUAACGUUCGUCGUGGAGAGGGAAACAACCCAGACCGGCAAGCUAAGGGUCCCAAAGUCUAUAUUUAGGUGGGAAACGAAGUGGGAAGGGCUUUGGACAGCUAAGAAUGUUGGCUUUGGAAGCAGCCAUCAUUUAAGCGUAAUAGCCUCACUAGUCGAGUCGGCCUGCCGCGGAAAGAUGUAACGGGGGCUCAAAUAAUAGCACCGAAGCUGCGGCAAU
This 1194-nucleotide ribosomal RNA is filed under the name Pasteurella multocida. Its description in RNAcentral is "bacterial LSU rRNA". It matches the Rfam family "Bacterial large subunit ribosomal RNA", at positions 1 to 1209 of the family's 2925-position model. The record is from RNAcentral. Lineage: Bacteria; Pseudomonadati; Pseudomonadota; Gammaproteobacteria; Pasteurellales; Pasteurellaceae.